UGGGGAAUAUUGCACAAUGCGGCGCAAGCCUGAUGCAGCCAUGCCGCGUGUGAUUAGAAGAAGGCCUUCGGGUUGUAAAGCUCUUUCAGUCGUGAGGAAGGAACCGUCGUUAAUACCAGCAGCCCGUGACGGUACCGACAGAAGAAGCACCGGCUAACUCCGUGC
Molecule: ribosomal RNA, 165 nt
Filed under: uncultured Vibrio sp.
Lineage: Bacteria; Pseudomonadati; Pseudomonadota; Gammaproteobacteria; Vibrionales; Vibrionaceae
Description: partial 16S ribosomal RNA
Rfam family: Bacterial small subunit ribosomal RNA
Source: RNAcentral